Molecule: unclassified non-coding RNA, 390 nt
Filed under: soil metagenome
Description: partial contains 5.8S ribosomal RNA, internal transcribed spacer 2, and large subunit ribosomal RNA
Rfam family: 5.8S ribosomal RNA (bases 1-122)
Source: RNAcentral
GAUGAAGAACGUAGCGAAAUGCGAUACUUGGUGUGAAUUGCAGAAUCCCGUGAACCAUCGAGUCUUUGAACGCAAGUUGCGCCCGAAGCCAUUCGGCCGAGGGCACGUCUGCCUGGGUGUCACGCAUCGUUGCCCCCCCAAACUCCGGUUCGGGCGGGGCGGAAGUUGGCCUCCCGUGCGUGCCUGCGCGCGCGGUUAGCCCAAAAGCGAGUCCUCGGCGAUGAGCGCCACGACAAUCGGUGGUUUUUUUACCCUCGUUCCUCGUCGUGCGUGCCCCGUCGCCCGAACGCGCUCUUGCAACCCUUACGCGUCGCCUCGGUGGCGCUCCCAACGCGACCCCAGGUCAGGCGGGACUACCCGCUGAGUUUAAGCAUAUCAAUAAGCGGAGGA